UUCCCCUUUCUCUCUCCUCCCCCCCGAGCUCUCUCUUCCUCCGGUUCGGCGAUUUUCCUUCCUCUUCCGAUUGCCGGCGAUUCCGGCCACCCCAAGGCGUGCCACCGGUCAUCCCAGGAUCGCCUCCUCCCUCUGAGCACCCCUGCAUCCUUGGUUUUCCACGAUUUGGCCGGAAAACCACGGAUCGAAGCAAAACCUCCUCCGGCUGCAGUUUUGGACUUUUGCCGAUUUCCGGCGAUUCCGGCCACCUCCGGUCCCCAUCUCUUCAUCGAAGUUAUGAAGACGAGAGGAGGAUUUCCUCGAGGAGGAUUUGGAUCGACGGCAAGCUUAGCCGUACUUUAUCACAGUGCUGCGGACCGGCAUAGGAGCGGAGGCUAGUACCACCUUUGUCAUCCAUUCUCAGU
RNAcentral lists this long non-coding RNA (404 nucleotides) under Rosa chinensis. RNAcentral's name for it is "sRNA RchiOBHm_Chr6g0244131". Lineage: Eukaryota; Viridiplantae; Streptophyta; Magnoliopsida; Rosales; Rosaceae. The record is from RNAcentral.